This is a long non-coding RNA of Oreochromis aureus, 204 nucleotides long. RefSeq lists it as uncharacterized. The transcript has 3 exons. NCBI's taxonomy places the organism in Eukaryota, Metazoa, Chordata, Actinopteri, Cichliformes, Cichlidae. The record is from RefSeq and is a predicted model, not a curated record.
AGAAGGAGGAACUGUGAGGAAGUCGGCUGGAAUCCAAUUUCUACUUUUAUUCAGGUGAGGCUGGAAAAAUCCAGCAAGAAGCCAAAGUCCAUUGAUCCAAACAAGGGAAGCAACACAGCAGGAGAAUAAUACAAACACUGCAGCCCAACAAAGAGCUGAGGAAAACUAAGCGCUUCACAGUUGACUCAGUGACUGCAAGGUGCC